UACGGAGGGGACUAGCGUUGUUCGGAAUUACUGGGCGUAAAGCGCACGUAGGCGGAUUUGUAAGUCAGGGGUGAAAUCCCGGGGCUCAACCUCGGAACUGCCUUUGAUACAGCACGUCUCGAGUCCGGAAGAGGUGGGUGGAAUUCCUAGUGUAGAGGUGAAAUUCGUAGAUAUUAGGAAGAACACCGGUGGCGAAGGCGGCCCACUGGUCCGGUACUGACGCUGAGGUGCGAAAGCGUGGGGAGCAAACAGG
RNAcentral lists this ribosomal RNA (253 nucleotides) under uncultured bacterium. Its description in RNAcentral is "partial 16S ribosomal RNA". It matches the Rfam family "Bacterial small subunit ribosomal RNA", at positions 524 to 776 of the family's 1533-position model. The record is from RNAcentral.